UUUAUUUUUUCCCCAAAACUUGGGCACAGACAUCCAUAUUUAGACCUUUGAAUAAAGGUAGCUUGAUUUCUAGAACAGCUGAGUAUCCACAGUUGCUCCUGUAGCUAAUGGGAGCUCUGGGUGAUCAGAACAACUGAAAAUCAAGCAGCCUCUAUAUAGGUGCCUAACUAUGCAUUCAGGGGGCUAUUUUCAGGCAUUUCACUCUUAAAAAUUUUAGUUUUUAGGAAGCUCCCAUUCCUGUCUCCUGUCAUUUUUAAACACAUUCAUGCAAAUCUUUGCAUUUUAAUGUAGGAGGGGUUGAUUGUCAGUUUACCGACUUCUCCGCUAUGCUAUCUGAACUUCAGCUUUUCCAUUCUAAGAGCAUUUCUGUAAUUUAUAAGAAUUGUGUCCUAUACAGAGUUUCAGCUUUAAUGAAAAAGUACUUUUCUCAGAGGACAUUAAGAAUAAUGCCUAAAUCAUCAACACCUUUUGAAUAUCACACUGGAGCUGGUAGAUUCAUUACUUCAGAGCUGCAUUCUACUCACUAACCGGAGUUGUACUAAAAACUUAAUUAUCUUAUCAUCAUGACUAGUCUCACUGACUUAAGUAGGUCUCAUCAGGGAAGUAAGAGGAGGAGGAUUUUGCUAUAAAUCAAGCUACAAGGUGCAUUUAUUACAAAAAGAUCUUGACUUCAUAAAGAUAAUAACUCAGUUAUUUAUCUGGCUAAGCCACCUGAGUCGCUAGUGCUCUGUAAAACACAGUACGGAGAGGUUUGGCCUUCUGAAGAGUCUAAGACAGCCUGAGGAAUAAGCAUAUGGCUGAGCAUUACUGGGUGACUGGCUGUCUUUGUCUUGUCCCAUUCAAGAGAGAGCUAGCAAGAGUGCAAGUCCAUCUUGGAAGCAAAGGCAAGGCUGGAGCCUGGCACUCCAACUACAUCACUCAUGGCAGUGCUGAGGGCCCCAGGCUGAGCUGAAGCUUGGCUCUUGGGCUGGUAGCUGCAUGGCGAGGGGAGGCUGAGCAGGGCUGUGAGAGUCUUGGGGCUCAUGCUAAUGCUGACCCCAUGAGACAGCUAGAGCUGGAAGGUUCCAUGGGGAACUGGAAAUGUUCUCAGUGUGGUCUUCUGAGUUUAUACUUGCACUGGUGCCCUUAACCUUGACCAGCACUUCCACUUCACUCUUCCAUUUCUUCCCAUCAUGGCUAGCUGUUGGCUGCUAUUUAUUUCCCAUUGUCACAGAAGAAUUGAGACUUUAUCUAGGUUGUUGCAGCUGGUCAUAACAGCUGCACAAAGUGUGUGUAAGGAGAUGGGGACCUGAAAUCAGUAACCAGGGAGGGGGCAGCACACCACUGCUGAAUAGACUGAGGAAAGUUCGGAUUUAGCACUCUGCUUCAGGCCUUUAGAAAAGAAACAGGCAAUUAUGCCUGUUUAUCUGUAUAAAUACAUCUAUAUUUAGAUACAUAUAUUUCAGAGUAUAACAUAUGUUUUGUGCAAGUCAGUCUAGUAUACUAAUCAUUAUUUUUGUAACACUUAUUCAUUUAGGAUUUAAAAUAGCUUCAUUUUGUUGACUACCUCACUUUGCAAAUAAGUGAAUAAAUUUAAGAAGAAAGUCAAGUAGAAACUGCACAUCUAGAAUAUUCUGCAUCAACUUAUUUACAAGAAGAGGGAAUUGGGAGAAGGGACGCUUAAGCUAGUGAGGAAGCAACCGAGACAGAAGUAGAAGACAUCCAAGCAGCUAUCCCUGCCAGGCUGAAGGCAGAGUGGUUUCCCAACUUUCAAAACUUACAUUGGGCUCAUCCAGAAAUUGCCGGGGAAGAUGACAGACCAGAAUCUUCCCAAUGAGAAGUGCUUACAAGCAGGAGCAGCUUGUCCUUACAGAGGCUUAACCUGGAACAUCUCCAUCUAGCCAGCCAGGGCUUAGCAGGUAUGUUAGCAAUGCAUGAGAGUCCUCUGCCUGUGAAAUGCCUUGUAUCGGACUACAGUCAGAUCAGGCUGCCUUAGUGUGCGGCAGAAAGUGUUCAGAGAGGUUCUCCAGGUAUUUAAGGCCACUCACUGCACACAUAUCAGCUCCGCCCGGUCUCAGUGCACCUGUAUCUCUGAGAUACUGAGAGAAAUGUUCCCAUGGCAGUGACUGCCCCGAGCAGGCUGUGGGCAAGGUGCAGGACCGAGGCUUCCAGGAGCCUUCACCUGUGCUACUUCUGCUGAUCUUGUGCCAUUCAUCACCCACCUCUGCACCUCACUGAAAACUCAGGACCAUCUGCUCAGAGGAAACUAAUAAAUGUAUAAACAGAAAUCACAGCAACUGCAGGAAGGUAACCCUCUGCUCUUAAAUGAACAUGUAUUUUCUGAGUUGCCUCCAUCAGGGCAGAUUUCUUUGUUAAGCAUUAAUUCUGUUUCAUUUUCCUGAACGUCUCUGCCAUUUUCUCCAUUAGAGGGCUGUAGAGCAGUGUGUUACAGUAUUUUAAAACACAAAUGGAUUUAAACCUAUGUAAAUAUACUUGGGGCCUAAUUUUCUUCUGUAUUGCUCUCCUGAAACUCGAUGAGGCGUAAAACCGGUGCAAUACAGAACAAAAAUGUACGGCACCUUAGAAUACAUCAGAGCUCUGGGUUUUGCUGACAAUGUUCAGAAACUCAGAAGUGGUAAGACUUUUAGACAUGUAUGACAGGUGAGGCAGAAGAGUGAGUCAGUUGCUGCUCGCAUGUUUGAACACACUACAACUGGUCAAUAGGAUAUGUUUUGAGGAAAAGGUAGCAAAGAGCAAGUAUUAUAGGCAGAGGCUAGACUAAGAAUCAUAAAUGUUAUAGGCUCCAUUCUGCUCCAGCUGUGAUGCUGACAAGCUAAUUGUACAGACUGCAAUUUUCUAGGCAAAUAUCUUCCUUGGCUGAACUUUAUUCUAAAAAAAAAAAAAAAAAAAGAACCAGAAAAUAAGGCUGAAUAAAAGCAUGGAGUGGGUUGGGGCUUUUCAGCCCACACCUAGAAAUUUCAGUGCUUUCACUGUGUUAAGUUCCAACACUCCAGAGCAUGAGCCAUGGCAAAGGGGAAACUGGCCUCUGUCCUCACCACUUGCCUUCUGCUGCGUUCGUACAAUGUAAGGUGCUAACAGGAGCAGUGCUGGAUGGAUGCAGUGAAACUCAAAUGGCAGCUGAAAGCAGAACGAGAGGGAGAGAAAGACGCUGGCACAGUAAGUCCAGUGCAGAUCAGAGCUAAUGGGAACUAAAGGCAACAGUGAGUGCAAGUGUAAGCAGGGAAAGCAGAAGGAAAGGCUUGGGGGGAGGGUGCCUAGAAGAUGAGAAAUAUGAACUGGCAGCUGAACAACAGCAAGGUGAUCCAGACAAGAAGAGCUAGAGUGAACCCAUCAAAGACACAAUGCCUCAUCAGGAAAGAAGCAAUACUGAGACCGAAAGGAAAUUGUUCACUGACCUGAUCUCUUGCCUGUGAAUUUAACUUCUGGAUUGGCUGGCAGAGCAACAUCACUGAAAAUGGCAUUUAUAGAGGCUGAGAUGCAGCGGCAUGCGCAACUUUCAAACCAGUAUUUGGUAACUUUGAAAAGCUUUGGCUUUGAAACUAAUAUUUCUUCCUUGUUGUUUGUUGUGCAUUAUGUAAAUUUAUUUCAUCUAAGCAAUUAACUCAUUGAGGCAGGGAUUGCUUUUUUGCCCUGUGUUUGCACACCACUUGCUGUAAAGUGUUGUGGUUCGUGACUGCUGCCAUUACAUGCCACGUUAAUACAGAUAGGAAGUAGUAUGCUGGUGGAGGUUAUACUAAAAGCUAAAUGAGAAUUCUAACAGUGGAGGAAAAUGGUUUGAUACAAAACACUGGGAAAUUAUCAGGCGCACCAGGCAAAAAUAACAAGUGGAAAAUUGGAGGCGAGUACCAAAGAAUGGUUCUGUAAGUAGUUCGGUGAGGCUGUUGGGCAGCCCACCAUGGAAGCAGCAGAAGUCCCUCAGCUGGGACCUGGCUGAAGAUACGACAACUCUGUUCAGAAGGCACAAGCCUGCACAGGGACACAGACACUGCAUGGUCUAAUGGGUCCACUCUGUCUCCAGCUUCUGUGACUCUGCUCAGCUUUCCCCAAAAGCCAGCACGAAGGAGUUGGCUUUUUGACACAAAAGAUGCAAUACAUAUUUACAGACAUUUCUUGAGCUGAGAACUAUGAAAAGAAAUCAAGUAGUUCUCAUCCAUGAGCUGAAAUUGAGGGUACGCACUAACCCAAAAGGACACCAGCUCAAAGAGCGCUGUAUGAAAAUCUUAUAAAGCUCUGCAACACUCCAUAAAUAAUUUUCAGACAGGAAGCUUUUUGUUUCAGUGAUAACAAUACUAAAAAGGAAGAAUGGCAAAUAUCCAUGAAAAAAGGCUGAAACAGUCUGCACCCUAUACUGAUGAUAGUUUUAAUCACUACCAGUGGUUCACGCGCAAUUAUCAGUCAUUUAUUAAGAAACGCAAGUGAUCAUUACAGAGGUUUAGAUUAAUUCAGGCUGAAGCUUGGUGUCAUGCCAGCGGUGCACCACGUGAUGGGCAGACCAUGGAAUAAACAUUCUAGCAUGUCACUGUGCUAUAAAUCCUACAAAUGAAAGAAAUUAAAAAGCCAGGAGCAAUUUUGAAAAUGAUUUAUGAUCGGAGGUGCACUUAGAAGUGCUUUUAUUGUCACGGGAACAUCUCCUUUCACAUCUUUAAGGUGAAAGCACCACUCUGCUUCGCCCUGAGUUUCUCGGGACAGCCUGUGACUGCGUGAGGUGUGGAGGCGAGCACUGCGGCUCGCGCUGAGUGCUGGUGAGUAUAUGUGCACUUAGCAGUGCGCAACUGCUUGUGAGGGUUAGCUUUGCACAGCCCUAGGGUGACAGAACAGCAAAUUGCUUCUGACACUUUAAGUAUGUGAAAAGACACCAGUUGUGGGGUUUUUUUUCCCUUCUUUUACAGCUAUACUAUAACUACGCUCUUAAGCGCACGUAUAAACAUUUUAUAACACAGAUUUGGACUAACAGUUGAAAAAUAACCUGAAGACUAGUUCUGCAGCAGAAAGUAUUCCUACCAAAAUAGCAGUCUGUUGCAAGUCAAACUUUCGCUCCAUACAUAAACGAUGCAGAACUUAGUGUACUUCUGAUGUAGAUGUUACUAGAAGUUUUACCAAAAUAUCAUGCUGGUGUUAAUACGGAUAUGUUAUCUUAAACAAAAAGUGAAUUCACCUAGAUUGAAAGGCAAAAUAUUUUAGUUUGCAAGCAUCGUACUCAGCUGCCCAUGUAAAGAAUAGCAGCAGUGAAAGUGAGUGAAUCAUAAAAACAUAGAAUAUCCCAAAUUGGAAGGGAUCCCAUAAGGAUUGUCUAGUCCAAGUCCUGGUUCCCUACAGGACCACCCAAAAAUCAGGCCAUGUCACUGAGAGUGUUGCACAGACGCUUACUGAACUUCACAAGCUCAGUGCCAUGACCACUUCCCUGGGAAGCCAGUGUCAGUGCUCAGCCAUGCUCGCAGUGAAGAACCUUGCCCUGAUAUCCAGCCUGAAAGUGAAAGCUUGGAAAUCCAAGACACAAGCAAGAUAGUUGAUCCUCCCUCAGGCCAGUGAUACUGGGACCACAGACACAAACCUAUGUGAUGCAUUGCUGCCUUCCUGGUUCCUCCUUUGGGCCUGCCUUCAGCCAUUUGGACUUGUGCUUUUCACUCUCCUGGGAUGGCCUGAGGACUUCCCACAGCAGCGUGCCAUUCGUACACACCCAGCAGGGUUGACUGGUUAGAUAUCUGCAGUUCUCUCUCCAGCAACGGAUAACCUUCAGAUCAAGAAGCCUACGUCAUCAUUACUGCUUGUGUCCACAACUGUAAUGAAGAUUUUAAAAAUAUAGUUGACGUGGGUGAUUAUUUAAGGUAAAGGUUUAUACCUCUCUUAGUAUUGCCUAUCAUUAGGUGACUGUGAAUACCCAUAACAAUCUAAAACAUCUCAUCCAGAGCAAUGUUUCCAUAUCUGACUUCUCCGAAAGGGUUAAUUUUCCAUCUCUCUACUGAUCCUUCUCCAUCCUGGGGCUGUGUAGGAAAACAACUUUAAGAACUUGGUUGGAGAUCAGCUCUUCAAAGCUAGCAGCUCAGGGGUUGUCUUGUGAUAGCCUGCAUGUCUCUGCUUUUCCUCUGCUGGUCUUUAAACUCCUGCGAGGUUCUUUCACCCUUCUGCAAGGAUUCACACAGCCUCCUCUUGGCAAAGUGGCUGGGAUAACAACAACCAAUGGAGAGGAUUGUGAGUGUAAAUGCUGUGUGUGUGGGGGGUACCUCAAACUAUUUGCCUAAAUCCUAUAAGCCUGAAGAGGAAGAAGAUGACCGCUAACUGGAUUAAGGAGUAUCCAGGGUCCUACCAGGAAACUUGUGAAGAAAAGAAGGUGCCAACCUGCAGAAGUGCACGAAAAUGAGUAACAUGAGAAGAGAGAUGCCCCACUUCAUGCUCACCUCCCUCAGGGUUGGUGCUGCCUCCUCCUCACUGGAUGUCACAAGUGGGCAGAUGGUGUGGUUUACAGUGCAUGGGGACACAGGGGAGGGUGACCGCCUGGGGUGCCUCCUCAUCCUCAGGGGGCACAUAACUGUGUGGAUGUGAGAGGAAGGGAGGUGGUGUCAAAACUCUGAAGGAAGAGCUGUUGACUCGCUGUGAGGGAGCGGAGGGGCAGUGCUGAGCUCUGCUCUCUGUAACAGUGACAUGGCCCAAGGGAACAGCAUGACACAGCUCUGUUAGGGGAGGGGCAGCUGGGCGUUAGGGAAAGGGUCUGCACCAGAGGGUGGUGGGCAUGGAACAGGCUGCACAGGGCAGUGGGCAUAGCUACAAGCUGAUGGAGUUCUAGGGGAAUUUGGACAGCACUUUCAGGCAUAGGGUUUGGAUUUUGGAUGGUCCUUUGCAGGGCCAGGAGUUGAGCUUGAUGAUCCUUGUGGGUUCCUGCCAGCUUGAGAUAUUCUAUGAUUCUGUGGUUCUAUGAUUACUUAUGGAAGGCUUUUCUUGAAUUUAUGUUUACUUUUGUAAGCACCUCAUAUUUUGGUUUCUUUGUUAUGAUGCUUGAUAAAGACCUUGGAUGUAUAGUUCACUGAUUGCCAGUUAAUUACAUGUCAUUAAUAAGUCAAUAAACUCCUUUAAUCCUGAUUUACCUUAAA
Long non-coding RNA from Numida meleagris (helmeted guineafowl), 7085 nucleotides. RefSeq lists it as uncharacterized. The transcript has 2 exons. Lineage: Eukaryota; Metazoa; Chordata; Aves; Galliformes; Numididae. The record is from RefSeq and is a predicted model, not a curated record.